CCUUUUGGUUCGGAACAACACAGGGAAACUUGUUGCUAAUACCGGAUAAGCCCUUACGGGGAAAGAUUUAUCGCCGAAAGAUCGGGCCGCGUUCUGAUUAGCUAGUUGGUAGGGUAAUGGCCUACCAAGGCGACGAUCAGUAGCUGGUCUGAGAGGAUGAUCAGCCACAUUGGGACUGAGACACGGCCCAAACUCCUACGGGAGGCAGCAGUGGGGAAUAUUGGACAAUGGGGGCAACCCUGAUCCAGCCAUGCCGCGUGAGUGAUGAAGGCCCUAGGGUUGUAAAGCUCUUUUGUGCGGGAAGAUAAUGACGGUACCGCAAGAAUAAGCCCCGGCUAACUUCGUGCCAGCAGCCGCGGUAAU
RNAcentral lists this ribosomal RNA (363 nucleotides) under uncultured bacterium. Its description in RNAcentral is "bacterial SSU rRNA". It matches the Rfam family "Bacterial small subunit ribosomal RNA", at positions 129 to 524 of the family's 1533-position model. The record is from RNAcentral.